This 253-nucleotide ribosomal RNA is filed under the name uncultured bacterium. Its description in RNAcentral is "partial 16S ribosomal RNA". It matches the Rfam family "Bacterial small subunit ribosomal RNA", at positions 524 to 776 of the family's 1533-position model. The record is from RNAcentral.
UACGUAGGGCGCAAGCGUUAUCCGGAAUUAUUGGGCGUAAAGAGCUCGUAGGCGGUUUGUCGCGUCUGCCGUGAAAGUCCGGGGCUCAACUCCGGAUCUGCGGUGGGUACGGGCAGACUAGAGUGAUGUAGGGGAGACUGGAAUUCCUGGUGUAGCGGUGAAAUGCGCAGAUAUCGGGAGGAACACCGGUGGCGAAGGCGGUUCUCUGGGCCUGACCUGACGCUGAGGAGCGAAAGCGUGGGGAGCGAACAGG